CCCUCCCUCUUUCCUCCUGCCUAACACAUGCAAGUCGAACGAGACCUUCGGGUCUAGUGGCGCACGGGUGCGUAACGCGUGGGAACCUGCCCUUAGGUUCGGACUAACUCCCCGAAAGGGGUGCUAAUACCGGAUAAUGUCUUCGGACCAAAGAUUUAUCGCCUUUGGAUGGGCCCGCGUUGGAUUAGCUAGUUGGUAGGGUAAAAGCCUACCAAGGCGACGAUCCAUAGCUGGUCUGAGAGGAUGAUCAGCCACACUGGGACUGAGACACGGCCCAGACGCCUACGGGAGGCAGCAGUGGGGAAUAUUGGACAAUGGGCGAAAGACUGAUCCAGCAAUGCCGCGUGAGUGAUGAAGGCCUUAGGGUUGUAAAGCUCUUUUAACCGGGAUGAUAAUGACAGUACCGGGAGAAUAAGGUCCGGCUAACUCCGUG
Molecule: ribosomal RNA, 433 nt
Filed under: uncultured bacterium
Lineage: Bacteria
Description: partial 16S ribosomal RNA
Rfam family: Bacterial small subunit ribosomal RNA
Source: RNAcentral